AUUUUGGACAAUAGGGCGCAAGCCUGAUCCAGCAAUGCCGCGUGCAGGAAGAAGGCCUUCGGGUUGUAAACUGCUUUUGUACGGAACGAAAAGGUCUGGGUUAAUACCCUGGGCUCAUGACGGUACCGUAAGAAUAAGCACCGGCUAACUACGUGCCAGCAGCCGCGGUAAUAAA
This 175-nucleotide ribosomal RNA is filed under the name uncultured bacterium. RNAcentral's name for it is "partial 16S ribosomal RNA". It matches the Rfam family "Bacterial small subunit ribosomal RNA", at positions 361 to 527 of the family's 1533-position model. The record is from RNAcentral.